GUAAUUUAUUACAUUGUUUUGCUGACGCUGAUUGCAAUUACAAAAAAGUUUGAAUUGGGUCCAAUUGGCGGGCGAACCCGCCAAGGAAACAAGUAGUACGCAAAAGACAUGGGUGAAUAUGGCGUCAGACUGGCCCAGAAGAGCGUACCCCGCCGCCGCGUCAGCACAACAGCAAUGCGCUGUCGUGGACACGGCGCGACGUUACGCCCCAAUGAGGGUCUGCUUUCAUAUUUGUGUAAUGAUCCCUCCGCAGGUUCACCUACGGAGA
RNAcentral lists this unclassified non-coding RNA (268 nucleotides) under uncultured fungus. RNAcentral describes it as "sequence contains ITS1". The record is from RNAcentral. Lineage: Eukaryota; Fungi.